UACGAAGGGGGCUAGCGUUGUUCGGAAUCACUGGGCGUAAAGCGCGUGUAGGCGGUUAUCCAAGUCGGGUGUGAAAGCCUUGAGCUCAACUCAAGAAAUGCACUCGGUACUGGGUGACUAGAGGACCGGAGAGGAUAGUGGAAUUCCCAGUGUAGUGGUGAAAUACGUAGAGAUUGGGAAGAACACCAGUGGCGAAGGCGGCUAUCUGGACGGUUUCUGACGCUAAGACGCGAAAGCGUGGGGAGCAAACAGG
Molecule: ribosomal RNA, 253 nt
Filed under: uncultured bacterium
Lineage: Bacteria
Description: partial 16S ribosomal RNA
Rfam family: Bacterial small subunit ribosomal RNA
Source: RNAcentral